CCAAGAAUAUAUGAAUAAGACGUGGAAAUAAAUAAAUUUUAAAAUUUAUUAGCAUGGCCCCUGCACAAGGAUGACACACAAAAUCGUGAAUCGUUCCACAUUUUU
Small nuclear RNA from Uranotaenia lowii, 105 nucleotides. The record is from RefSeq and is a predicted model, not a curated record. NCBI's taxonomy places the organism in Eukaryota, Metazoa, Arthropoda, Insecta, Diptera, Culicidae.